CCCAAAACCUCCAGAGAUUACUCAGCAGCUGUAAACAUGCAGAUUCUUUGAAGCAGUGCCUUGUAUUAACUAAUGUGCAUUUAAUAUUCAGUGGAUAAAAGUUCUGGAUUUUUUCUAGGCUACUCACAUUCCUUGGUUCAUCACCCCCUUUCUCCAUCUCCAAAGUCGGCAAAGGACAGGGUUUCUUUGGCUUCAAGUAUUUUCUUCAGUGCCUUUCGUGGUGGAGCUGGCUGUUACCUGUUUAUAUCUAUGGUGAGACACUCUUCUUCAGAUGCUUACUUUGGUAUGGUCUUGCACAAAUCACAAAACUGUGUACUGUAGGGUUUGGAGAAGUUCAAAGUCAAAUUCUUCCCAAUUUCUUCAUCUGGAAAUGAAGGGCUGUACUAUAUGCUCUCACAUCCCUUUCAACUCUCUGAAAACAAGCACAUACUUGAUUUAUCGGUUGAGCAAUAAUUCCCAGUGCCAAGUAUGCUUUCUACUAAAAGUCCAUGGUUGUUGAAUGAAUUAUUGGAAUCGUAAAUUUAUUUAAAAUAAACACCGA
Long non-coding RNA from Neogale vison (American mink), 541 nucleotides. RefSeq lists it as uncharacterized. Lineage: Eukaryota; Metazoa; Chordata; Mammalia; Carnivora; Mustelidae. The record is from RefSeq and is a predicted model, not a curated record. The transcript has 4 exons.